This 1474-nucleotide ribosomal RNA is filed under the name Bolitoglossa alberchi. RNAcentral describes it as "16S ribosomal RNA". It matches the Rfam family "Bacterial large subunit ribosomal RNA". Lineage: Eukaryota; Metazoa; Chordata; Amphibia; Caudata; Plethodontidae. The record is from RNAcentral.
AAUUGUAAAUUUAGCCCCCCCCCCUUUCCCUCAAAGAGACCCCCCCCACACACUUUUUUUAUGAUAGUAUGGGUGACAGAAAACCUAUUAGCGCAAUAAUACAAGUACUGUAAAGGAAUAAUGAAAUAGAAAUUAAAUAAAACAUAAAAAUAAAAUAAAGCAAGAAAGAAACCCUCUACCUUUUGCAUCAUGGUCUAGCAAGUCAUACUCUUCAAAAAGAACUUAGAAGGCUUCCCCGAAACCAAACGAGCUACCUUAUGACACAUAUCUCCCUGUAGCAAAAGGGUGAAAAGAUCCUAUGGUAGAGGCAAAAAACCUAACGAGCUUGGACAUAGCUGGUUGCUUGAAAAAGAAUUUAAGUUCACAUAAAAACAUUUUUACCAUCAAGGAAAAUUAAUUUUUUUAUACUAAUUAACUGAGUUACAGCCCAGUUAAUAAGGNAGACAUCCCAUAUAAAUGAAUAAUGAUUUUUAAGAAACUGAGUCUAGUAGGCCUAAAAGCAGUCACCAACAAAAGCGUCAAAGCUUCGCUCAAAAAAAUCAACUAUUUCACUAAAUAAUCCUAAUUCAACAAAACAAUCAAGCUAAUCUAUUUUUAGAUGAACUACUACUAGAAUUAGUAAUAAGAAUUAUUCUCUAUAAUACAAGCAUACAUCAGAACGAACCAAUCGCUGAUAGUUAAUGAAAACAUUUCUUUAAUCAAGAACAUAAUAAUUAAUAACAUUAACCCAACACAGGAGUAUUUAAGAAAGACCUAAAGGUUAGAAAGGAACUCGGCAAACCUAGGCUUCGCCUGUUUACCAAAAACAUCGCCUUUUGAAGUAUAAACAUAAAAGGUCCUGCCUGCCCAAUGACUUGUUUUAAUGGCCGCGGUAUAAUGACCGUGCAAAGGUAGCGUAAUCAUUUGUCUCCUAAAUAGGGACCAGUAUGAAUGGCAAAACGAAAGCCUCACUGUCUCUCUAACCCAGUCAAUGAAAUUGAUCUUCCCGUGCAGAAGCGGGAAUAAAAAUAUAAGACGAGAAGACCCUGUGGAGCUUUAAACUUAAGUUAACAAACAUAAUGCUUUAACACCCAGUUUUAGGUUGGGGCGACCAUGAGGUAUAACAUAACCCUCACGAUAAUAAACAGAAGGACACUUCAAAUAACUAAUAUAGCAUAUUGACCCAAUAAUUGAUCAACGAACCAAGUUACCCCAGGGAUAACAGCGCAAUCCGCUCAAAGAGUCCAUAUCGACGAGCAGGUUUACGACCUCGAUGUUGGAUCAGGACCCCCAAAUAACGCAACAGUUAUUAAAGGUUCGUUUGUUCAACGAUUAAAGUCCUACGUGAUCUGAGUUCAGACCGGAGCAAUCCAGGUCAGUUUCUAUCUAUAAUCUAACUUUUCUAGUACGAAAGGACCGAAAAAUUAAGGCCUAUAAACAAUUUAAGCCUCACAAAAAUCUCUGAAUACAAAUAAAGAAACCAAGAACAAAUCAU